This 1375-nucleotide long non-coding RNA is filed under the name Homo sapiens (human). Its description in RNAcentral is "HSALNT0002767". Lineage: Eukaryota; Metazoa; Chordata; Mammalia; Primates; Hominidae. The record is from RNAcentral.
CCAAUCAGAAUCUCUCCCCAAGCUCUAGUUUCAGGAUGCUUUAAGACAAGGGUUUCCAACCCCCAGGCCAUGGACUGGUACCAGUCCCUGGCCUGUUAGGAACUGGGCUGCACAGCAGGAAGUGAGCGGCAGGUGAGCAAGUGAAGCUUCAUCUGUAUUUGCAGCUGCUCCCCAUCACUUGAAUUAUUGCCUGAGCUGCACCUCUUGUCAGAUCAGUGGUGGCAUUAGAUUCUCAUAGGAGGGCAAACCCUAUUGUGAACUGCACGUGUGAGGGAUCCAGGUUGUGGUUCUUAUGAGAAUCUAAUGCCUGAAGAUCUGUCACUGUCUCCCAUUACCCCCACAUGGGACCGUCUAGUUGCAGGAAAACAUGCUCACGGCUCCCACUGAUUCUACAUGAUGAUGAAGACACCGAGUCCCAAAAAGGGCACACAGGGAACGGUGCUGCCAGAAUUCCAACCCACAUCUGUCUGCCUCCAGAACACACCACUUUCUCAGAGUCCUGACGCAUCAGGUACCCAGGGUCACGUGUCUUCUACACCCACAGCCUGCAAGGAGAGGCCCACACUCCCUGCCAGUCUGCAGGAUGGUUGCUGUAGUUACAGUCCCUGCGAAUCAGGGGCUGCACCUGCUCCAGGAGCUGCUGCAAGAGCAUGGAGUCACGCUCCUGCCGGCGGAUGGUGGCCAAGUAAUCGAUCUUCUCCAGCUGAAACUCGGACUGCAGAUCUUUGAUCUCCACCUCUGCUGCCCGAAGCUGAAAGCAAAGGAUGACAAGCAGAGCCUUUGAGAAGUCCCCACAUCCAACACCACCGUUCUAAAGGAUAUCAGAGAAUUGCACAAGUGACAUCUCUAAGGAGGACAACAGGCACAAACUCUCCGACUUGACAAUCCUCACUCUCCCACUGCCACAGCCCUGUGUGACGGUGUGACAAACACUGGACCUAAACAAUGGACCUAAGAGUAAGACCCACCUUGAUCUGAUCAAGGGUUCCAGAUUCUUUUGGUCUCCUGCUCAAGUCUGCCAGACCGGUCCCCCGGUCCCUCCUGAGCACAGGUGACUGCCAGCCCCAGCCAUAACCACCCUCUCCCUGAGCCCCAAGACUACCUGGUGCACAGUCUGUUUCCUCAAAGAGCAGGUACAGUCUGAUUAGUAAAGAAGGAUGUUUGAGGCAGGGCGUGGUGGCUCACACCUGUAAUCCCAGCACUUUGGAAGGCCGAAGCGGGCGGAUCACUUGAGGUCAGGAGUUUGAAACCAGCCUGGCCAACAUGGUGAAACCCCAUCUCUACUAAAAAUACAAAAAAAUUAGCCAGGUCUGCUGGCACACGCCUGUAAUCCCAGCUGUUCAGGAGGCUGAGGUAGAAUUACGUGAACCCGGGA